Molecule: ribosomal RNA, 497 nt
Filed under: uncultured bacterium
Lineage: Bacteria
Description: partial 16S ribosomal RNA
Rfam family: Bacterial small subunit ribosomal RNA
Source: RNAcentral
GAUGAACGCUGGCGGCGUGCCUAAUACAUGCAAGUCGAGCGAACAGACGAGAAGCUUGCUCUUCUGACGUUAGCGGCGGACGGGUGAGUAACACGUGGAUAACCUACCUAUAAGACUGGGAUAACUUCGGGAAACCGGAGCUAAUACCGGAUAAUAUUUUGAACCGCAUGGUUCAAAAGUGAAAGACGGUUUUGCUGUCACUUAUAGAUGGAUCCGCGCAGCAUUAGCUAGUUGGUAAGGUAACGGCUUACCAAGGCAACGAUGCAUAGCCGACCUAACAGGGGGAUCGGCAACACCGAAACUGAGACACGGUCCAGACUCGUUCAGGGAGCAACAGAAGGGAAUCUUACGCAGUAGGCGAAAACCAGACGGAGUAACGCCGCAUGAAUGAAAAUGGUCUUCGGAUCGUGAAGCUCUAUUAUUAGGGAAGAACAGAUGUGAAGAUAACGGUGCACAACUUGACGGUACCUAAUCAGAAGACCACAACUAUGUACGAG